CACCGUGGGCGGCUGGUAGUUGAUGCCGACCUGUCUCACACACAUCGCGCACACACACACACACACACACACACACACACACACCAAGCGAGCCGCAUGAGUUAAGGUCUGAGGAAGGAGUGAACAAGGUAGUCCUGAGGGAAGGAAGGGAGGAGCCACAGCUUACCUGAGGGGCGGGGUAGAUGGAGAAUUCCAGUUUGCUCUUCUUGCCGUAGUCCACAGAGAGUCGCUCCAUCAGGAGGGAGGUGAAGCCAGAGCCGGUGCCGCCGCCGAAGGAGUGGAAGAUGAGGAAGCCCUGGAGACCCGUGCACUGAUCGGCCAGCUUCCUGAUGCGGUCCAGUACAAGGUCAACGAUUUCCUUCCCGAUGGUGUAGUGGCCGCGGGCAUAGUUGUUGGCGGCGUCCUCCUUCCCGGUGAUGAGCUGCUCGGGGUGGAACAGUUGGCGGAUUGAAAAAAAAAGGAAAAAGGAAAAGAAAGACACUCACCGACCACAGUGGGCUCCAGAUCCACAAAAACAGCGCGGGGGACGUGCUUGCCGGCGCCGGUUUCACUGAAGAAUGUGUUGAAGGAAUCGUCGCCGCCGCCGAUGGUCUUGUCUGAGGGCAUGGAGCCAUCGGGCUGGAUGCCGUGCUCCAGGCAGUACAGCUCCCAGCAGGCAUUGCCGAUCUGCACGCCCGCCUGCCCGAUGUGCACGCUGAUACAUUCACGCUAGGAAGUAAGAGAAUAAGGUCUCAGUUUCGCAGGUACAACACUCCACGGUUUGUGUUUGAGGCAAGUUAAGAGAUAGGAGGGAGAAAAAGGCGGAUCAGGAGUGAUUUGAGUGAAAUAGUGGAGGCUGAAAAUAUAUAUAACUAAGUGGACAGUGAAUACUCUAGGGAGGAAAGGAUUAAAACCUACGCAAAUAAUGGAGGCUGAAAAGAUAUGUAACUACGAGGAUGAUCAAUAAUCUAGUAGGGAAGACUGAAACCUAUGGAAAUAUAAGCAAUAUAAAAGG
This is a long non-coding RNA of Scylla paramamosain (green mud crab), 994 nucleotides long. RefSeq lists it as uncharacterized. NCBI's taxonomy places the organism in Eukaryota, Metazoa, Arthropoda, Malacostraca, Decapoda, Portunidae. The record is from RefSeq and is a predicted model, not a curated record. The transcript is spliced from 3 exons.